GACGAACGCUGGCGGCGUGCCUAAUACAUGCAAGUCGAACGCAUUUUCUUUCACCGUAGCUUGCUACACCGAAAGAAAAUGAGUGGCGAACGGGUGAGUAACACGUGGGUAAACUGCCCAUCAGCGGGGGAUAACACUUGGAAACAGGUGCUAAUACCGCAUAAUUCCAUUUACCGCAUGGUAAAUGGAUGAAAGGCGCUUUUGCGUCACUGAUGGAUGGACCCGCGGUGCAUUAGCUAGUUGGUGGGGUAACGGCCUACCAAGGCUGCGAUGCAUAGCCAACCUGAGAGGGUGAUCGGCCACACUGGGACUGAGACACGGCCCAGACUCCUACGGGAGGCAGCAGUAGGGAAUCUUCGGCAAUGGACGCAAGUCUGACCGAGCAACGCCGCGUGAGUGAAGAAGGUUUUCGGAUUGUAAAACUCUGUUGUUAGAGAAGAACAAGGAUGAGAGUGGAAAGUUCAUCCCUUGACGGUAUCUAACCAGAAAGCCACGGCUAACUACGUG
This 507-nucleotide ribosomal RNA is filed under the name uncultured bacterium. RNAcentral describes it as "partial 16S ribosomal RNA". It matches the Rfam family "Bacterial small subunit ribosomal RNA", at positions 28 to 507 of the family's 1533-position model. The record is from RNAcentral.